RNAcentral lists this ribosomal RNA (375 nucleotides) under uncultured organism. Its description in RNAcentral is "partial 16S ribosomal RNA". It matches the Rfam family "Bacterial small subunit ribosomal RNA", at positions 527 to 896 of the family's 1533-position model. The record is from RNAcentral.
GUAGGUGGCAAGCGUUGUCCGGAAUUAUUGGGCGUAAAGCGCGCGCAGGCGGUCCUUUAAGUCUUAUGUGAAAGCCCACGGCUCAACCGUGGAGGGUCAUUGGAAACUGGGGGACUUGAGUACAGAAGAGGAAAGCGGAAUUCCAAGUGUAGCGGUGAAAUGCGUAGAGAUUUGGAGGAACACCAGUGGCGAAGGCGGCUUUCUGGUCUGUAACUGACGCUGAGGCGCGAAAGCGUGGGGAGCAAACAGGAUUAGAUACCCUGGUAGUCCACGCCGUAAACGAUGAGUGCUAAGUGUUAGGGGGUUUCCCGCCCCCCUUAGUGCUGCAGCUAACGCAUUAAGCACUCCGCCUGGGGGAGUACGGCCGCAAGGCUG